Non-coding RNA from Cyanistes caeruleus (blue tit), 909 nucleotides. Lineage: Eukaryota; Metazoa; Chordata; Aves; Passeriformes; Paridae. The record is from RefSeq and is a predicted model, not a curated record.
CGGUAGUUCCGGUGCCCCAGGCAGCAGCUGUGCUGCUGCACCCUUGUGCACAGGGGGGCUGCUCCCCCUGCAGCUGGGAGCUGCAUUCCAGCCUCAGUUCCCUCGGGAUCCUCUGAGCUCUCGGGCCCUUCAGCAGUGGCUCAGGCACACACACGUUUUGUUCAACCAGCACUGCUUUGGGGCUCCAGUUUGGGCAGAUGGGUGGAGCAACAGCACUUGAAAUUUCCACAAAGUGCAACUCCAUUAGCUUCAGCUGACCCUGUGACAUCAUUAAGAUUAUAGAAAGGAGUGUUGGUUGGGCUAGUGAAAAGUGCUGCUUCUAGUAAGAAAAUAUAGCCCUCCUUGCAAGCAUCAGUAAGCAGAGACACUCUGCUCUCAUCCCCAACAACUCCUGCUAUUUUCAAGAGACAAAUGCAGGAAAGCACUUCAGAGCUGCAGAGCAUGGCCAUAAGGCUUUUAUCAGGAUUCUUGGAGGUCUGCUGUUUAAUGAAAUACCAGUAAGAGUGGAAGCAGUUUCCUCUUGGAAGCAACUGUUUGCAUUUCCAACUGGUUUUUGUCUUUGCUGCUGGACAGAUCUUCAGGCAGUGUUAAUGAGGUUGAGGAUUUGCACAGUUCCACUUGUCUGAAGUACAGCUGUGCCAGCUCACACAGGACACCUUCUGCUAAUUCAGCGUUGCUGGUGUAAGUGCUGGGUUUGUGAGAACUCUAAACACGAGCAGAAUGCAAGAUGCAAGCCCCGAGGAAGAGCCCAGGGCUGGCUGCUAAGGCAGGGCCUGUAGCUGGACACGUGAAUUAAAAUCCUCCCUCCCAUUCUCUGCCUUUGUCACUGAACAUCAGCAGUGCUGAGCACUUGCACAGCAGGUGAUCCCGAAAACUCGGCUUGUUUAUAAAAGCACUUUCACAAACCUU